RNAcentral lists this ribosomal RNA (253 nucleotides) under uncultured bacterium. RNAcentral's name for it is "partial 16S ribosomal RNA". It matches the Rfam family "Bacterial small subunit ribosomal RNA", at positions 524 to 776 of the family's 1533-position model. The record is from RNAcentral.
UACGUAGGGGGCAAGCGUUGUCCGGAUUUAUUGGGCGUAAAGAGCGUGUAGGCGGCCAGGCAGGUCCGUUGUGAAAACUCGAGGCUUAACCUCGAGACGCCGAUGGAAACCCCCUGGCUAGAGUCCGGAAGAGGAGAGUGGAAUUCCUGGUGUAGCGGUGAAAUGCGCAGAUAUCAGGAAGAACACCCGUGGCUAAGGCGGCUCUCUGGGCCGUAACUGACGCUGAGGAGCGAAAGCGUGGGGAGCGAACAGG